RNAcentral lists this ribosomal RNA (406 nucleotides) under uncultured bacterium. RNAcentral describes it as "partial 16S ribosomal RNA". It matches the Rfam family "Bacterial small subunit ribosomal RNA", at positions 29 to 526 of the family's 1533-position model. The record is from RNAcentral.
AUUGAACGCUGGCGGCAGGCCUAACACAUGCAAGUCGAACGCGUGGCGGACGGGUGAGUAAUGUCUGGGAAACUGCCUGAUGGAGGGGGAUAACUACUGGAAACGGUAGCUAAUACCGCAUACCCUCAGAUGUGCCCAGAUGGGAUUAGCUAGUUGGUGGGGUAACGGGUCACCAAGGCGAAGAUCCCUAGCUGGUCUGAGAUGAUGACCAGCCGCACGGGAGCGGAGACACGGUCGAAACUCCUAUGAGAGGCGGGAGGUGGGAAUAUUGCGCAGUGGGCGCAAGCCUGAUGCAGCCAUGCCGGGUGUAUGAAGAAGGCCGUCGGGUUGUAAAGUACUUUCAGCGGGGAGGCGUUACCCUCAGAAGAAGCACCGGCUGACGCCGUGCCAGCAGCCGCGGUAAUUC